GCUUUAAUAGUUUAAAAAAAACAAUGAUUUUGUAAAUCAUAAAUGAAUUUAUAUCUUAAAACU
RNAcentral lists this transfer RNA (63 nucleotides) under Pallenopsis pilosa. RNAcentral describes it as "tRNA-Thr". Lineage: Eukaryota; Metazoa; Arthropoda; Pycnogonida; Pantopoda; Pallenopsidae. The record is from RNAcentral.